RNAcentral lists this unclassified non-coding RNA (236 nucleotides) under plant metagenome. Its description in RNAcentral is "partial contains small subunit ribosomal RNA, internal transcribed spacer 1, and 5.8S ribosomal RNA". The record is from RNAcentral.
UUUCCGUAGGUGAACCUGCGGUAGGAUCAUUACUGAGUGAGGGCCCCUCGGGGUCCAACCUCCCACCCGUGUUUAACGAACCUUGUUGCUUCGGCGGGCCCGCCUCACGGCCGCCGGGGAGCAUCUGCCCCCGGGCCCGCGCCCGCCGAAGCCACCUGUGAACGCUGUCUGAAGUAUGCAGUCUGAGACAAUUAUUAAAUUAAUUAAAACUUUCAACAACGGAUCUCUUGGUUCCG